This 25-nucleotide non-coding RNA is filed under the name Mus musculus (house mouse). The record is from RNAcentral. Lineage: Eukaryota; Metazoa; Chordata; Mammalia; Rodentia; Muridae.
UGCAGGUGGAAGUUGGUAGAUGUUC